RNAcentral lists this ribosomal RNA (375 nucleotides) under Triticum aestivum (bread wheat). Its description in RNAcentral is "partial small subunit ribosomal RNA". The record is from RNAcentral. Lineage: Eukaryota; Viridiplantae; Streptophyta; Magnoliopsida; Poales; Poaceae.
AUGGACCCUAGUGAGAUUUUGAAUGUCAGAUUUCAUUUUGGGGGCCAGUUCAUCCACAUUGGUCCUGUUUUGGAUUAUGUGGGGGGAGAUGAAGCACUUUCAUUGAUUGAGAGGGACAAGUUGUCAUUGUUUGAAGUUCAAGGGCAUUUGAAAGACCAUCUGGAGUUCAAGGAAUCGAUGAAGUUGUAUUUUCAUGUUCCUGGGAAAGAACUAGCUGAUGGUUUGAGGUUUUUGUUUGAUGACAGUGGUUGUGCUAGCAUGUCAGACUACAUUUGUGUUGGAGAUGUAGCUGACAUUUAUGUGGAAUACCAUGGGGAGCAGGACAGUGAGAGUAGCAGCAGUGCUAGUGAUUAUGAGAAUGAGAUUGUUGAUGUU